GCCGGGUGUGGUAGCUCACGCCUGUAAUCCCAGCACUUUGGGAGGCUGAGGUGGGUGGAUCACCUGAGGUCAGGAGUUCGAGACCAGCCUGACCAACAUGGAGAAACCCCAUUUCUA
RNAcentral lists this non-coding RNA (117 nucleotides) under Gorilla gorilla gorilla (western lowland gorilla). The record is from Rfam by way of RNAcentral. Lineage: Eukaryota; Metazoa; Chordata; Mammalia; Primates; Hominidae.